RNAcentral lists this ribosomal RNA (842 nucleotides) under uncultured Vibrio sp. RNAcentral describes it as "bacterial SSU rRNA". It matches the Rfam family "Bacterial small subunit ribosomal RNA", at positions 53 to 884 of the family's 1533-position model. Lineage: Bacteria; Pseudomonadati; Pseudomonadota; Gammaproteobacteria; Vibrionales; Vibrionaceae. The record is from RNAcentral.
ACAUGCAAGUCGAGCGGUAACAGAAAUUAGCUUGCUAAUUUGCUGACGAGCGGCGGACGGGUGAGUAAUGCCUGGGAAUAUGCCUUAGUGUGGGGGAUAACUAUUGGAAACGAUAGCUAAUACCGCAUAAUGUCUUCGGACCAAAGAGGGGGACCUUCGGGCCUCUCGCGCUAAGAUUAGCCCAGGUGAGAUUAGCUAGUUGGUGAGGUAAGAGCUCACCAAGGCGACGAUCUCUAGCUGGUCUGAGAGGAUGAUCAGCUACACUGGAACUGAGACACGGUCCAGACUCCUACGGGAGGCAGCAGUGGGGAAUAUUGCACAAUGGGCGAAAGCCUGAUGCAGCCAUGCCGCGUGUAUGAAGAAGGCCUUCGGGUUGUAAAGUACUUUCAGUAGGGAGGAAGGCGUAGUCGUUAAUAGCGGCUUCGUUUGACGUUACCUACAGAAGAAGCACCGGCUAACUCCGUGCCGGCAGCCGCGGUAAUACGGAGGGUGCGAGCGUUAAUCGGAAUUACUGGGCGUAAAGCGCAUGCAGGUGGUUCAUUAAGUCAGAUGUGAAAGCCCGGGGCUCAACCUCGGAACCGCAUUUGAAACUGGUGAACUAGAGUGCUGUAGAGGGGGGUAGAAUUUCAGGUGUAGCGGUGAAAUGCGUAGAGAUCUGAAGGAAUACCAGUGGCGAAGGCGGCCCCCUGGACAGACACUGACACUCAGAUGCGAAAGCGUGGGGAGCAAACAGGAUUAGAUACCCUGGUAGUCCACGCCGUAAACGAUGUCUACUUGGAGGUUGUGGCCUUGAGCCGUGGCUUUCGGAGCUAACGCGUUAAGUAGACCGCCUGGGGAGUACG